UAGAGUUUGAUCAUGGCUCAGAAUGAACGCUGGCGGCGUGCUUAACACAUGCAAGUCGAACGAGAAAGGGAUUGCUUGCAAUCCUGAGUAGAGUGGCGCACGGGUGAGUAACACGUAGAUAAAUCUACCUUCAAACCUGGGGUAACUGUUCGAAAGGGCAGCUAAUACCGGAUAAAGUUAAUUUGCACAGGUGAAUUAAUGAAAGAUUGCCUCUUCUUGAAAGCAAUUGUUUGGAGAUGAGUCUGCGGACCAUUAGUUUGUUGGUGGGGUAACGGCCUACCAAGACUGCGAUGGUUAGCUGGUCUGAGAGGAUGAUCAGCCACACUGGAACUGACACACGGUCCAGACUCCUACGGGAGGCAGCAGUGAGGAAUUUUGCGCAAUGGGGGUAACCCUGACGCAAAAAACGCCGCGUGAGUGACGAAGGCCUUUGGGUCGUAAAGCUCUGUCGACAGGGA
This 458-nucleotide ribosomal RNA is filed under the name uncultured marine bacterium. Its description in RNAcentral is "bacterial SSU rRNA". It matches the Rfam family "Bacterial small subunit ribosomal RNA", at positions 1 to 445 of the family's 1533-position model. The record is from RNAcentral.